GUCCACGCCCUAAACUAUGGAUACUCGACAUACGCGAUAAACUGUGUGUGUCUGAGCGAAAGCAUUAAGUAUCCCACCUGGGAAGUACGAUCGCAAGAUUGAAACUCAAAGGAAUUGGCGGGGUCGCACAAGCGGUGGAGCAUGUGGUUUAAUUUCGAUGAUACGCGAGGAACCUUACCUUGGGCGUAGAAUGCUGGGAGGACCGUGGGUGGAAAGACUCACUUUGUAGCAAUACACUGCCAGUAAGGUGCUGCAUGGCUGUCGU
RNAcentral lists this ribosomal RNA (265 nucleotides) under uncultured bacterium. RNAcentral describes it as "partial 16S ribosomal RNA". It matches the Rfam family "Bacterial small subunit ribosomal RNA", at positions 793 to 1055 of the family's 1533-position model. The record is from RNAcentral.